CGGGCGGGAGGGAUGGGGAGCACCGCGCACACGCGCUCGGCUCCAGGUGCGUGGGAGCGGGCUGGAAGAGAGGAGCCCCCGGGGCUGCUCUGCUAACAAAGCCCCCCCGGCGCAGGCUGCGGUCGGACCUCGCUAAAAACCCGCUUAGUGAUAUUUUAUCCUCUCCUAUUUCUUCUCUCUCUCUCUAUUUUUUUUUCUUUUUUCUUUUUUUUUUUUUUCCCCGGCUUUGGGCUUGAUCCCGGCCUCCCAUUGAAGGCCAACUUGGCGAUCGUGUCUGCACUUUCCCUGUGAGUUCGCUGUUGCUGGGGAGGUCUGCAGGGAGGGGAUCCCCAGGACGGGUCCCGCAGCCCGGCGCUCCCCUCCGGCAGCGCAGGCACAGAGCCUCCCGCACCUCCGCCGCGAGCCCCAGAAGUUGGGACGUAAUAUGUAUUACAAUGUCUGGCAAAUAAUAGGGAGAAAAAAAAAAGGGGGGGGGGGGGGGGAGAAAGAAAGAAAGAAAGAAAAAAAAGCAAUUGGCAAAUCUGCAUUCCGUUCCCAUGGCGACACAAAGCACCGCGCUCUCCGCCGAGCCGCCCCGGCACGUUUUUGCAGCCGGUGUGGGGUGAGCACCCCCGGCUGGGGUUGGAGUCCCUGGGUGCCCCGUGGGGCACUCAUAGGGUACGGCCGCAGCCCCUCGCCCGGUGCCCGCGGGGACGAUCCCUGCGCCCUCGGGGGCCGUGGCAGCCCCGGGGCGGGGGGGAUGCAGAAGGAGCCGUCCCCACCGCCUUCCCGGGGCUCUUCGCUGCCCCCGCGGUGCGGGAGAGGAGCGAGAUGGGCAGGAUGCUGCCGCUCUCCCUCUGCUUGCACGUAUGGGUGCGGGUGCCCGGCCCCGUCCUUUUGGCACAGGGCAGAGGGCAGCAUCGGGGCCCGAGCCCGCGCCCAUCUGGGUGCAAGAGAGCGAAAAGUGGAAGCUCCGCGCACCCCGGGGGGCUCUGCACCAUCCCCAGCGCAGGGCCGGCAUCAGCCGCCGCAGAGACCCUUUCCAGGGCCAAACCACCGCCGUAACCCCAUCAGGAGAAAGGAUCUCAGCCUGAAUUCGGCUGUACCGUGGGAAAGCAAAGUUCCAAGGAGCGCUGUUAAUAGAGAUUCUAAUGAGGAGUCAUUGGAGAAAUUAAAAAGGGGCAGAGAGAGACGGCGGCGGCGGCGCUAAUUCCGCAGGAAACCUCCCAGGGAAAGGCAGCGCAGGCGGGAGCGCUGGGAAGCAUGAAGGCCUGGAAUUAGACUAUCAUUUAGAGAGCGUUACUAAUCUGAAGUUACAGCAGUAAUUCCGUGAUUUGCUGGGUCCCACACGCAGCGCCGGAAUUAAAGAUACGGAUUUGAGAGAAACGUAACUCAACGGCGGCUCCGCGGCUCGGCGAGCGCCGAAUGAAUCAUUCAUUCCAAAGGCAGCCAAAGACGUGUCAUUAGGAGCCGACCUCCUCCUCUCCAUCUGGAAUAUGCGCGCUCCGUGCGAGCCCAGAAAUUGUGGAAGGGAUCGGAGGUGGGAGGAGGGAACGCGGCCCUUCCGCUGCUCCGUUACAUCGGUUAUUUAUAAGAAAUAAUCUUCCCAUUGCUUUGCGCAAUGUUGUGGUUGGUGCUCUGUUCCUCUCCUGCUUUAUUUUCCCUCCCGUGCGAUAGCGCCGAGUCAGGUGCGAGCGUUGAGGUGGAGAUGCUUUAAAACUGGAGCGAACAAAGCGAGCAAGGUGCUUGAUGAAUGCAUUUAUUCCGGAGUAAUGAUUUGAUGGGGGAUGGAAGAAAGAAACAUUCAAAUUCCUAAUGAAUGUAAUUCAGGGGGAAGCGUUGGAGCGGUGGUGGAGGAGAGCUGCGUUGCUGGAGUGCUGCUGCGUGGCACAGCCCAGGAGGUAGUUCUGUCCAUGGCUUUUGUAGUGGCAAAAGGUGGGCAUUUAAAAAGAAAAUCCAAGGAAAAGGAAGUGUGUGUGUAUAUAUAUAUAUAUAUAUGUACACAUAUACGCACACAUAUAAGAAAUGUGUUUGUGUGUGUGUGUGUAAAUACAUAUAUAUGAUUUAUGAAAUAAAAUGGAAGUGUGGCGAUCAGGGUGUGCACGUGAACUCCUACCAAGGACAAGGCAAGCUCUGUCGCCGUGCUCUUGGGUGCUCAGACAGCAUCCUCAGCUCCCCUGUUUCCCCUCCCCGAAGCCCCGUGCUCUCAGCUGACUGUUGGGGUGUUCUGCAGGCGGUAGGGCUGGCCCACGUAUCCCGGAGCUGUUCCCCCACAGUAGGUUUGAGGCAGGGAUGGAGCACUUUGCCCUUUAUGUUCCGGGCAAGAGGAGCUGUGGUCACAUUUUUGCUGGGGUUUCAUUCUUCGUUUUCACCCUGGGAGUCGGCAGUGAGGGUGCACCCAUCCGCACCGCAGUGCCCACCUCGCAGCCCAGUGCCACUUCUCCGCUUUCUGCCUUCUGAUGGGUCGCUGGCCCACCUCCUUUGGACGUGGGAUGGGUUUUGGUGAGCAGGGCCACACCUGAAGCAUCCCAGCAGCCUGCUGCCGCUUGGCCCUGCGCCCUGCUGGUGUCAGUGUCACUGUCAGCCCAAACCUUCCUCCCAAAUCCAGAAGGACGGUGCCUGCUGGUGCUCUCAUCGCUUGUGGGGCAGUGCGGCGCUGCAGGCAGGGAGCAGAGCGUGGCUCCCAGGUCCCUCCUGCUGCUGGUGGCGGUCCCUUUGCAGAGGUACAGGGUGCAGUGCGGGUGGGGUGAGCUCUCCGAGGCCGGGUGUGAUGUCUUUGUUCUUCAGCGGUGCUGGGGGUGGGCAGAGGGAGACGGGGAUGUAAAGAUCCUUGGGGGUAAUUGGAAAAUGCCAUUAGGGGAUCGAUGCCACAGGGCAUCGCGUGCUCCAACUGUUUUAUUUAUUUCUCUUCUCCAGAACUUCUCCCCGUGGAGCGGGAUGGGCUCAUGGAUUUGUAGCCGGUGCCCAACCUGUGUGGCACUGAGUGGGUGGGGAUGGGGCUGCCUGGUGCCUGCUGCUCCAACAAGCUGUGCUGAAUGGAGGCAGGGCCGCUCGGUUAUGGAUGAGAUCCCAUCAAUGGGCAUUUUUGUGGAAUUGCCUGGCGAUGGCUGGUGUGGAGCUGGAGGCCUGGCUCCGUCGGUCCUUUUGUCUCCCUGAUUCAUCGCGUGCUGCCUGCAUCCACCUGGCCCUGUGUCCUGGCUCUGUCUGUGCCAUGGGGCUGCGCUGGAGGCCCUGCCCAGGUCUGAGGCAUACAGCUCCCAUCCCCUCAGCUCAGGGUGCUCUGUGGCAGCCAAGUGCUAAUUUGGCACCGGGAGCUUUUCAGAGCUGUGAGCACGAAGGUGUUUGCAUCUCACACAUAGCGCGGGUGCCACGUGUCACCUGGGCGCUUUGUCACCCCAAAUCCUCACGAGCUGUUGGGGUCGGUGGUGUGAGAUGGGGACAUCGCCGCCUGUGCCAGCUUCCCUCCGCCACCCUGCCCAGGUUGGUUUGCUGCUUUUUGGCGUUUCUUGCCCCAAAACACGUUGGCAGAAGCGAGGCGUGCCGGGUGGGGACAGAGCUCUGGGUGCCACAUCAAUGUUUGUUCAGCGGCUCAGGUUGGGUUUAGGGGUGUUUGCCUGCACAGCUCAGGAAUGGGAGUAAAAAAAGAAAACGGGCUGGGGAGGAAAGCACACAAUCUCCGUCAGUUAGCUGUCUCUUGGAAACUCAGCUUGCUGAUCCUAUAGAGGCUUUCUCUUUUCCUUCACCCUGGUCUGGCCUUAAGUACCACUUUAAGUGGGCUUUGCUCAUUCACAUCCAGGCUCCUUAGAGCAAUUGAGCCCGCGGGGGUUUGAAAAGAAGGGACGGUCCCUCAAUGGCAGGACCUUGGGCCAGGCUAAUUGGUUUUGGUUCAAGGGGAUACUGGAUUUGUGAAAAGCCCAAAGCCACCUUUCCCACGCCAAAUCCCGGCCCUUCAGAGGGGGAAGUGUGGGGUGCCAGGUGGGGAAGGAGCUGAAAGAAGGGUGAUGUGCUCGGAGCUCCGUCGCUGCCCCAACACCCACCGGCCCCUGCAGGGAUGGGGACCCCGUGGUAGCACAGGGACGGGUCCCUGCUCUAUGGGGACGGGUCCCUGCUCCGUAGCUCCAUCCUGCUUUCGUUAAACCUUGGCUUCAAGGCUGCCACGGAGACGCUGGGAGGAGCAGAAGGAUGGGACCUGGGGAAAGCUGGCAGCACCAAAUCGCAUGCGUGCAUGUCUUUUAUGUCUCAUUUUGCUUUGGGAUUUUAUUUUUUUUUUUUCCCCUUACGCUGAAUCUCUCUGGCACCAUUCCAGCAGUCCCAUGACCUUUACUCUCCCAGAUCCAUAAAAAUCACUUAAUUAUUGGGCCGAAAAUCAAGGCUUGGAAACAAAGCCAGCUUAUGGGACCAUCAUUUCUUGAUGUAUUUCCUGCGAGGACAUAUUUCUGGGCACCUUCAGAGCCGUGCGCGCAGCGUGUUGGAUAUGAGAUAUCAAGGCAUUAUUUAUUGAGGAAGUCUUCACACUCCCUCAUCUGUUAUAAUUAACUGAUGACAUUUUUUCUAAGGUUCAAAAUAUGGUGAAAAAGUAUAAUUAGCGCGAAGCUGAGGCACUGCAUUAAAAUGUCUCCUAUAGUUAAUGUAAGAUCGUGCUGCUAUUUAUUAUAGGAGGGGUCGGCUCUGACCUCUGUGUUGCCUAACACUUUUUAUUGUAAAGAUUGUUGAACUUUUUUUUUCUCUUUUUGAGACCCUCUGACACUCCCAUUGUUUGCUGCGGGCCCUUGAAAUUCGGCGGGGGGAAGCUGUUCGGCGAGAGCGAUGCCUAUUCUUUGUCCCCUAAAUUCCUUUCAGGUUUAGCUGAAUUAUGAAUCAUUCAGAAUCACAAUUUCCCUUCGGUUGCCUCUUUGAGGCGGGGGGAAGAAAAAUAAAUGUGUUGUUUCUCCGGAAUAAUAAUCACAACAAACCAGGAGCGCGGUGCCCUGGCACGGCUGGGUUGGAUGGAAGAACCAUCACGACCGCCUCUAUGAGCCCCUUCCACAUCCAACCCAUCUGUGCCCCCAUCUCCCGGCACCAAACUCGGUGCGGGGAGGAAAAAAUUGCAUCUGUGUGCAUGGGUCCUGCCAGCCCCAGCGGUUCGCCUUCCUGCACCGCCGACCCCGGGAGAGCAGCCUUCUGCCGCUGCCAGAUAACAUUAGCUCUGUAUUUCAUAGUGGCAGAAAUCUGUGCCGAGGCUCCGGGCUCGAAAUCCCUCUCCCCGCGAUGAGCGUGGGGUGGAGGGAGGGGAAUUUGCUACACUUGCGUACAAUUGUUUCUUUUCUUUCUUUUUUUUUUUUUUUUUUUUUUUUUGCUUUUUUGCUUAUAUAAACAAUGUAUUAUUUAUUAGGCAUAAAUAAUACAUUUUCUGUAUGUUUAGAAUGCACGUGAUUUCUGCAGAUUAAAAAUGUACGGGGUUUAAGGCACCAAACCAAGCGCUCGCAGGUCGGGGUGCGCGACUGCGCUUUGGCCGUGGGAUGUAAUUCAGCCUCUGCUGCCCGUGCCCAUCUCGGGCUGCAGUGACUCGGUCACAGCCUAUUUAUAGCUCACUCCCUCUUUCCCUGGUCAGGGUAGAUGCACGGCGAGGUGGAAUUGAGGUUGCACGGACAGCCGUAAAUUGAGCAUUUCCUAACUUGUGAAGUGCUUGACCACGGAGUUCAAACGAGGCCUUUUCAGGGCUGGGUUUCCGCAUGUGGCAUUAACGGCGUUGGUAGGGGAUGCAAAAUGCAGGCGUAGAGAAGCCAUAGAACAGCACAGCCCAAUUGGACUAUUGAAAGUGCUCUUUGAAUAGGUGGGGGAGUCAACAGAGCCUACACUUGAUCUGAGCUCAAUGGCCAAGAAGAUGUCUCCAAGCUGAAAGGGGGAAGCCUUUGUUUCACCAGCACCAGCCACGAUGUUUUCUUUGCCUUUGGUUUUGCCUCGUUCACUCCUAGGGAGGUUUGGGCUCCUUCUCUUGAGGAAUCUUCAUUGUGUUCACUGAAAUUGCACUUGGGAAAGCUGGUGUGGCCUUAGGAGGGUGCACACACGCGUGCUCCCAGCGUCACACCUCCCGACGUGCGCUGCCCGGGUCCGCGCCUUGCAUGCUCCUUCUUCCCAUGGAGCACACAUUGGAGGGAAAAGGGCGGCCUUUGUGCAUUAUAUGGGAGAUUUAAUCUCUUUUUUUAACUGCUGGAAGAAUUUCCUCCACUUUCCUUGGGAGCUGAUGGCGUGCAAUGCAGAUUUAUCUUUGCUGGAGAUGGCUUUCUUUUUCCUUUUCUUUGUUUGCUGGGAAUUCUCUCCAUUCUGCCUUGCAAUAUUUGUGAGGACGCGUUUGGCUCUCUCUGUUUUACAGCAGAGGACUCCAGCCAUUUUUGCCUUGUGGGUUCCUGCAGCCUGGUACCCUACAGGGGCUGCACCUGUGCUGGCACCAUGUCUAUCUACGUGCGCCACAUUGGGGUGUCCAUUGUGUGGGUACUGCCCAGUGUUCCACGGGCAUCUUCUUCAUAACUUUCCCCCUCUCUCCCACAUCUCAGUUCAGCAAAGGGCCUGUCUAUCUGGAUGCAGGCAAUAAACGUCUGUUCUCACCCUGACUUCUGUUAAUGAGAUAGAGACAGGUAAGCAUCACACAUACCAACUUUCCUGCUCUCAGCAACAUCAAGGAAACGGUGACAAGCUAUUAAUGGAAAGUGAUGGUCUGGGUGCUAAUUAGUGCUUCCUUUUCAACUUUUACCUCCAUGUCUCCGCGAUGCCCAUCCCAGCCUCUCCUUUCUCCUUGCAUCCCUUUGUUUCCAGCACGUUCCUCGUUCACUGCACACAUCCCAUCUCGAAGGGGCUUCUCUGUUCUUUUCCUACCAAUUGCUUGCUGCAUCUCUUCAUUCUCUUUUUGUGCCUUUUUUUUCCCUUGGUAAUUGCUGCCUGUACCUCCUUUCUCCAAAAAAAAAUAUAUAUAUAUAUAUAUGAGAACAAUACUGUGGUGGGGUCUGAGACCUUGGGAAUUGGGCCAUGCAAAGUUGGUCGUGAGUUUCUCAUCUUCAUCACCGGGCUGUGGUAUCUGCUUGUGGCACUGGCACACGGGGUCACAGUACCCUGGGGACGUGAGGUCAGAGAUCCGUCCCCUCUUCCCACAGGUAACGCUAUGGGGAGUCUCCCAGCAGCUCCCAGGUCCUGGUCACAGAGCAAUUAGUAUUUAAAGCAGAUCCAAUGGUGAUGCCCGCAGAUGGAACGGGAUGGCUCUCUGCUGUGUGAGCCUGUAUGAAAUGACAGGUUCUGCUAAGCCCUAAGUGCUCUCACUUGCCACCAGGCCCAGAAGGGGCUCUUUUUUCCAUCUCCAGCCCAAUCCCUGCUGCUGCAGCAGCGUGAUGCCUGGCCUCAGCCUGGUGCCCACUCUCUCCCACACCUCUCUCCUGUCUCCUAGGCUCUCUGGCUUCCCCGAGGACCCAACCAUCCCCUCCUCACUGUUUUCACAUGGGCUGUGCUUUUCCUGCUGCCAGGCACAUCCCACAGAGCCGCGUAAUCUGGCCCUGUCAUUCCCAGUCACAGGCUCAGCACACACCGUAGCUUUGUGGGGAACGCUCGCAGGGCAUCUAUGGUUUGCAUAUUAGCUAAUUAAUUUUCAUGACCAAACGAUGCUGCCUGGUCUCCUGUUUAUGCUCCUUGCCGCUCCGCUCUCCCUCUCCUCGCUGACACACACACGAGACGACACAUCUCCUCCGAACGUCAGCAUCCUCCCGCAGCCUUGAGAUGCGAGUGGUUAUUCUGUUGGCUUGUCAAACGCGGGUUUCCCAGCUUCAUGAGCUGACUGCGAGUUCGUGGAGCGGGAUGCCUUGGGAAGGGAUGGGACAUCUCCACCUGAGCGAGGAGAGAUCCCAGUGAGGGGAGAAGGGAUGUCCCCAGCCUGACAGCUCCUUCCUGGCUGCGCUCUGCCCGCUCUCUGCCCGAUGUCUCCGGGAUUCUCCAGGAGGGACCCAACCUGCCGUGGCCCCAGCAAGAGGCAGCAUUGGCUGCUGGACGUGGAGGGGUUCUGCAUUGCUUCGCACCUGUGGGGAGGGAGCCAGGGGAUGGGGAGCCUGGCAAAAAUCCCGUGUAACUCCUGUAUGUCACCUCCAGGACCCAAAUACCCCUGGGCAGAGAGGUGUGAGCACCGUCCCAGCUGGGUGUGGGGAUGUUGGUGGGAGCAGGAGGGAGGUCUGAGUGGGAUGGAUGCCAUGUUAAGGGGCUCUGCUCAUGGAGCAGAGCUUGGCCUACGCUGUGCGUGUGUGCGUGAUGGACUGAGCGUGGGCUGACCACGCCUGGUCCAGGCGGUGUUCCAUUGCACUGUAAGAAAAAAGCACUGUAAUUCCUCCCUAAUUAAAAUCAACCCCACCCCGUGCACUGUUGCAAAUAAACACUCCUUUCUGCAAAAGCGAG
RNAcentral lists this long non-coding RNA (8385 nucleotides) under Gallus gallus (chicken). RNAcentral describes it as "lncRNA (ENSGALG00010020663.1)". The record is from RNAcentral. Lineage: Eukaryota; Metazoa; Chordata; Aves; Galliformes; Phasianidae.